UACAGAGGUCUCAAGCGUUGUUCGGAUUCAUUGGGCGUAAAGGGUGCGUAGGCGGUCGCGCAAGUCGGAUGUGAAAUCUCAGGGCUCAACCCUGAAACUGCAUUCGAUACUGCGUGGCUAGAGUGCUGGAGGGGAGACUGGAAUUUACGGUGUAGCAGUGAAAUGCGUAGAUAUCGAGAGGAACACCUGCGGCGAAGGCGGGUUGCUGGGCUGACACUGACGCUGAGGCGCGAAAGCCAGGGGAGCGAACGGG
This 253-nucleotide ribosomal RNA is filed under the name uncultured bacterium. RNAcentral describes it as "partial 16S ribosomal RNA". It matches the Rfam family "Bacterial small subunit ribosomal RNA", at positions 524 to 776 of the family's 1533-position model. The record is from RNAcentral.